This 70-nucleotide transfer RNA is filed under the name Aculamprotula tientsinensis. Its description in RNAcentral is "tRNA-Gln". The record is from RNAcentral. Lineage: Eukaryota; Metazoa; Mollusca; Bivalvia; Unionida; Unionidae.
UUGAGAGCUGGUGAACUAUAGCACAAAUGAAUUUGAAUCAUUAGGAGGAACCAAGAAUUCCGCCCUCAAA